This 77-nucleotide transfer RNA is filed under the name Candidatus Altimarinota bacterium. Its description in RNAcentral is "tRNA-Pro". It matches the Rfam family "tRNA". Rfam says of the family: Transfer RNA (tRNA) molecules are approximately 80 nucleotides in length. Lineage: Bacteria; Candidatus Altimarinota. The record is from RNAcentral.
CGGGGUGUGGCGAAGUUGGCUAUCGCGCCUGGUUUGGGACCAGGAGGCCCUGGGUUCGAGUCCCAGCACCCCGACCA